RNAcentral lists this ribosomal RNA (226 nucleotides) under uncultured bacterium. Its description in RNAcentral is "partial 16S ribosomal RNA". It matches the Rfam family "Bacterial small subunit ribosomal RNA", at positions 538 to 763 of the family's 1533-position model. The record is from RNAcentral.
GCGUUAUCCGGAUUUAUUGGGUUUAAAGGGUGCGUAGGCGGUCCUAUAAGUCAGUGGUGAAAGACGGCAGCUUAACUGUCGCAGUGCCUUUGAUACUGUAGGACUUGAAUCUAUUUGAAGUGGGCGGAAUAAGACAAGUAGCGGUGAAAUGCAUAGAUAUGUCUUAGAACUCCGAUUGCGAAGGCAGCUCACUAAGUUAGUAUUGACGCUGAUGCACGAAAGCGUG